CUUCCUUCAAUAAAAUCUUCCAGAGCACUCAAGCUCACAAAGCUUCUACAUGUCAUUUGAUAUUGAUAUUUUUGCCUCAAUGGGGAAAAUCUUAAUCUAUUUAUAAACUGUUUUUUCCUGACAAUGUAGGAGUGUGUUUAAGAAUUUCUUGACUACUUGCUGUAAGGAUAUAUGUAUAUUCUAGAAACUCAAAUUGGGGUGGAUAAUGUAAAAUGUUUUACUGUACUUACUCAUCGUCUGUAACUAUAAUUUCCUAGAACCUAUUUGGAAAUCGGCUUGCAUAUUUUGGAGGGCCAGAACGGACAACGCUAUUUUCUGAAAAUAAUGAAGUAUACAUAUAUUUUAGAAGCACAUACAUUUCAUCAUACAAAUCUAGUAGAAGUGAAUUACUAAUUUCAAUAUAAAAAAUAGGACUUAUAUGGGUGAUGUGGUCAAAUGCAGUGAUUUUUAGCUUGGUUGGUUGUGUCAACGGUAUCUCGCUGUCACCAUUUUGUUUGACACGUUCCACUAUAGUUUCUUUAUCAAGCACUCAAUAAAUUUUGUGUACUGGUCUUCCAUAUGAACUUGGUGAAGCUUUAACUCUUGCAGCGGAGAUCAAAUGUGUGUGGAAGAGUUCAAGCUUUUCUCCCAUAAUAUGGGAUGUCAUUGCCAUACACGACUCCUCUAAUUUGUUUCCUUUAAAGUGUCAAUAUCAGUUAGAAAUGCAGUUAAAUCAUAGUUAUAAAAAGUUGAUUAUUUAUUAUAUAAAAGAUAGAGAAAUUACCUCUUCAUCUUCUAAAAUCAGAUUUUGAAAUCUUACCUUUUUCUCAUUACUUUCUCAUUCUCAACUUAUCUCCACAAUUUGGAUUUUGCACGUUCAAUCUGGUGUAUCAGUUGUUAUUUGAUUGAUGUUGUUUCUUAAUGCCACAAUAUCUUGGUAAUAAAGACAAAGUUCAUCAGAAAAACAUAGCCAAGGAAGAAAUCAGGAAUAAUAGCUAACAUGCACGUAAAUAUGUUGGCAAGACAUUAUUCAAAAAGGAAAAAAUUGAUCCAGAUAAAUAAAGUGCAAUGACAAACAAAGAUUGCGCAAAUAACUCUUAAAACAGAGCGCUCAACCCAUAUUUGACCAUAUACAAAUAGAGGAAAAUGGGUCAAAUUAUAACAGAGUUAACCAAAAAACAUUACACAUACAGUACAUUACACUCGGAUGUUUUGUAUAAAAUAACAAUUGAUACACCAGAUUGGACAUGUAAAGUUCAAUUUGUAGACAUAAGUCGAGAAAGUAAUAAGAAAAAAGUAAGAUUCCAAAAUCUGAUUUUAUAAGAUAAAGAGGUAAUUUCAUCUAUCUUUUAUGUAAUAUAUAAUUAACUUUUUAUAAUUAUGAUUUAACUGCAUCUCUAACUGAUAUUGACACUUUAAAGGAGCAACAAAUUAGAGGAGUCGUGUCUGGCAAUGACAUCCCAUAUUAUGCAGACAAGCUUUAACUCUUCCACACAUAUUUGAUUCCCACGGCAAGAGUUAAAGCUUCACCAAAUUCAUAUGGAAGGCCAGUACACAAAUUUUAUUGAGUGCUUGAUAAAGAAACUAUAGUGGAACGUGUCAAACCAAAUGGUGAUAGCGAGAUACCGUUGACACCACCAACCAAGCUAAAAAUCACUACAUUUGACCACAUCACUCAUAUGAGUCAUAAUUUUUCUACUGAAAUUAGUAAUUCACUUCUACUAGAUUUGUAUGAUGAAAUGUAUGUGCUUCUAAAAUAUAUGUAUACUUCAGUAUUUUCAGAAAAUAUAUGCUGAAAAAACUCUUACUAGUCGUGGGAGUUGUUGUCCGUUCUGGCUCUCCAAAAUAUGCAAGCCGAUUUUCAAAUAGGUGCCAGGAAAUUAUCAUUGCAGACCAUGAGUAAGUAUACUGAAACAUUUCAUAUUAUCCACCCCAAUUUGAGUUUCUAGAAUAUACAUAUAUCCUUACAGCAAGUAGUCAAGAAUUUCGUAAACACAAUCCUACAUUGUCAGGAAAAACCAGUUUAUACAUAGAUUGAGAUUUUCACAUUAAGGCAAAAAUAUCAAAUGUAAUGUAGAAGUUGCUCAGGAAACAGAAAUUGCGCAUGAAGGAAAGAAGGGGAUUAGACUGCACCUAGUGUAAACAACAUUAGUUUGGACUGCACCCAGUGUGUAAGUUCCAAAUUGAUCUUACUGACGGUAGUGGAUCGACAACUGCAGUGCUUUCUGGUGAUCUAGCUGAAUAAAUGCUCCCCAUGGCAGUAGACGACAUAUUUGACACAACAUGUGUCAAGAAACAACUCUUUCCCACUAACCAUGUCAAAGACACGUUUUCAAACAGAAUCUUCUGAAUACAAUUCAGAAAGUUAUCUUUGGAGAGGUACUAACAGUGUGCAAGCAAGUCUAUCAGUUUUGUCCUACAUACAAAAGGAACGCAUCUUUCUACCAAUUACUGGCGAGAGAAAUAAAAACAAAGUCAAGCCUCUAAGUACAAACGGGGUAGAAGUGGAAGCAACAGUGGUGAUAUCUGAAUCUUGAAGCGCAAGGAUGAAGCUAGAUCCACCAACACCAUAAAGAAAAUGGAAAUGUCAAGUCCCCUUAAGUAUCUACACCGCAGGGAGUGUCUACCUUUUUGGGGAUCAUGGGAUCUUUUGCUAUUGAAAAAUAAAACAUCUGUGGGUACUCAAUUGAAUGGUAAAGUC
Long non-coding RNA from Lycium barbarum (goji berry), 2680 nucleotides. RefSeq lists it as uncharacterized. Lineage: Eukaryota; Viridiplantae; Streptophyta; Magnoliopsida; Solanales; Solanaceae. The transcript is spliced from 4 exons. The record is from RefSeq and is a predicted model, not a curated record.